GGUGUUCGAAAGAUUGAAAAAUAUAGAUAUAAAUCCUGAUUGAUAAAUCCUUAAAGAUAUAAGAUACAUCUUACAAAUAACUUUAGUAAGGACAAAAUAUUAUUUUUGAUAAAAGAGGCCAUUGUGGAAAAAGGAAACAAUUUUCCAGCCUUUCUAAAAAUUACCCCGAAUCAACGGGACAAAAAAGAAAUGGCCAUUUUGCAACUUCUCCCAAGAAAAAAAGGCACAACUAAAAAGGAAGACACGUUUUAACAACAUAUUUACGACAUUUGUUCUGAUUUUGGGUACUGAGUUGCAUUUUUCUACAGCGUCAUAGGAAUUACUCCAAUGCGCAAAUUAACCACAGGAN
Molecule: long non-coding RNA, 349 nt
Filed under: Olea europaea (common olive)
Lineage: Eukaryota; Viridiplantae; Streptophyta; Magnoliopsida; Lamiales; Oleaceae
Description: long non-coding RNA (OEUR_LNC001959)
Source: RNAcentral